UUACUAGGAUUAGAUACCCUAUUAUUAAAAAAUUAAAGAAAUAAUACUAAAAGAGUAAGUAAAAUUUUAUUGAAACUUAAAUAACUUGGCGGUAUUUUAGUUCAUUCAGAGGAAUCUGUUUAUUAAUUGAUAAUCCACGAAUAAAUUUACUUAAUUUAUUAUUUUGUAUAUCGUUGUUUAAAAAAUAUUUUUUAAUAAUUAAUAAUAUUUUAAAUUUUAAAUAAAAAAUUAAAUCAGAUCAAGAUGCAGAUUAUAAUUAAGAAUAUAAUGGAUUACAAUAAAUUUAUUUAUUAUGAAUUUUAAGUAGAAUAAUUUAAUUGAAAGUGGAUUUGAAUGUAAUUUUAUUUAAAUUAAUAAGAUGAUUUAUAAUUAAAAUAUGUACAUAUGCCCGU
RNAcentral lists this ribosomal RNA (392 nucleotides) under Samia ricini (Indian eri silkmoth). RNAcentral's name for it is "partial 12S ribosomal RNA". The record is from RNAcentral. Lineage: Eukaryota; Metazoa; Arthropoda; Insecta; Lepidoptera; Saturniidae.